AGUGCAAUGAUUUGUGUGCGUGUCCCCCA
RNAcentral lists this non-coding RNA (29 nucleotides) under Rattus norvegicus (Norway rat). Lineage: Eukaryota; Metazoa; Chordata; Mammalia; Rodentia; Muridae. The record is from RNAcentral.